Cyprinus carpio (common carp) is the source of this 1685-nucleotide long non-coding RNA. RefSeq lists it as uncharacterized. The record is from RefSeq and is a predicted model, not a curated record. The transcript has 4 exons. NCBI's taxonomy places the organism in Eukaryota, Metazoa, Chordata, Actinopteri, Cypriniformes, Cyprinidae.
GAAACAUUUUUCGCAGUUAGUCCAUUUUAUUUCCGCUAUAGUUUAACCAGGCAAAUACUAUUGCAUUGACAGGGUAAUCAGCCAAUCAGUGAUGAUCAGAACAUAAUGGUCGGGUAUAACUGCAAUGACAGGUCCAUCAUAGUGUGCAUCUUCUCUUGUAUCUCUCUUUCUCUCUCUCUUCACAUAUUGGUGUCGUCUUUGGACAGUGUCACAUAGAAAGAUGAGUGAACCAUUAGAGCUCAUUCUGUAAAUCUGAAUUCACCGAAAAUCACUUUACAAAGAAACAGCUUCACAUAACUAUAAAUACUAUGCUUCUAUCCUCACUUAUAUAUGAGGGGCAAAUGUUCAGCCCUUAGUAUAAUACAAUGUCAAAACAAUUUACACGUUUUUUUUUUUUUUUUUAUCCCAAUGAUCUUUAUGUGUUGCAAUUUAUCACAAUCCUUCCACGUUCAGUAUGGACGUGUGUUAAAGCGCACUGUUCAACCCACAUAUUUUUUUCUGAGGAGUUUCCUCAAGAACUGAAGAAAGCAGCCACACAUUCACACAUUUCACCAGUGCGAUAAUGAUUCGCCUGAUUGUGUUGGGUGAGUCAAAUUUCUCUUUCUUUAUUUUACCCGUUAUUUUCACUCACUCUUUACUUAGGCCUAAUUAUAGAUAUUUGUCAUAAUUUAUUAAAAGAACGGCAACAGUAUAACUCAGCAAGUUUACGCAAACUCCAGUAACGGAAGAUGUAUAUUAGGCUACAUUAUCUGUACUGUAGUUGUCUACCCAGUAACCAAAUAAGCUAAGCGUAGGCUACGUCAGAAACUCUGUGCUGUUUAUUUUUUCCGCAGCAGUGUUUUUACCUGAUUUCUGUUUUUAGCUUUGACCCAUAACAUAGUAUUUGGCAACGAUCAACCCACCUUCGUCACAGCAAGUUGCAGAGAUGACAUAACUUUACACUGUACUUUCCAUAAAACCUGUCAGAACUACACCUCUGUUACGUGGUACAAGUUCCACAAUAACAGCAGUGACAGAGCUACAAAAAUGACAAUCGUCAUAAAAUCAGAAAAUGUCAUCCAGACUGAUAAGCAUAACAAUUCUGUGUCACUGGAUAAAAAUGCAUCUUUGGUCUUAAGGAAAGUUGCUCCUGCCAAUUCUGGGAUCUACAUGUGUUUAAUAAGAGCCAAAGCUGGAGGAAUGAACUGUCAAAAUCGGGUUAGACUUAAUAUCUCAGAUUGUGUGUCAACAGCUUCACCCAUCAUCUUUGAUUUCUCCACCGCGUUUAUUAAUGAAUCAUGGGCAAACAUUGGCAUCCCAUUGCCUCAUGUAAAUGAUGAUUCAGUGCUCUUUGUCCUUUGGGGUUGUGUAGGAUUAGCUCUGAGUAAACUUGUCCUCAGUGCCAUUUGCAUAUGGGUUUUCAAGGAACUCAGUAAACUUAAAAGAAGACAGACUUAAGACCAACCACUGUUUACCUGCCAUAUGGUUUAGUAAUUUAUUAUCAUCCUUUUAAUAAUUUAUCUGUGAAUUUACCUGUGAAUAAUAAACUUAAUGCAACAGUUAAUGAAACCGUACUGAUACUCUGAAGAACUGAUCUUUAUAUGUUAUAUUUAUUUCCGCAAUAUCCUUAUCAGUGUUAUUUUAGAAUUAUUUAUAGUAUUAUAUACUAUUAUAGCACUUUUAACUUAAUAGCUUUUAUUUUUAUA